Molecule: long non-coding RNA, 1128 nt
Filed under: Chrysemys picta bellii (western painted turtle)
Lineage: Eukaryota; Metazoa; Chordata; Testudines; Emydidae
Description: lncRNA (ENSCPBG00000016286.1)
Source: RNAcentral
UUCACACCUAUAUAUCCUGUUCCAUAAAUGAACUGAUGAUUUCGUUACAAUCCCUAAUGGCCACCAUGGAUGUAGAAGCACUUUACACCAAUAUUCCACAUGAGGAUGGACUACAAGCUGUCAGGAACAGUAUCCCUGAUGAGGCCACAGCACACCAGGUGGCUGAAUCCUCACCCACAACCACUUCAGAUUUGGGGACAACUUAUACCUUCAAGUCAGUGGCACUGCUAUGGGUACCCGCAUGGCCCCACAGUAUGCCAACAUUUUUAUGGCUGACUUAGAACAACGCUUCCUCAGCUCUCGUCCCCUAGUGCCCCUCCUCUACUUGCUCUACAUUGAUGACAUCUUCAUCAAAUGGACCCACGGAAAGGAGGCCCUUGAAGAAUUCCAUCUGGACUUCAACAAUUUCCACCCCACCAUCAACCUCAGCCUGGACCAGUCCACACAAGAGAUCCACUUCCUGGACACUACAGUGCAAAUAAGUGAUGGUCACAUAAACACUACCCUAUACCAGAAACCUACGGACCGCUAUACGUACCUACAUGCCUCCAGCUUCCAUCCAAGACACAUCACACGAUCCAUUGUCUACAGCCAAGCCCUAAGAUACAAUCGAAUUUGCUCCAACCCCUCAGACAGAGACAAACACCUACAAGAUCUUUAUCAAGCAUUCUUAAAACUACAAUACCCACCUGGAGAAGUGAGGAAACAGACUGACAGAGCAAGACGGGUACCCAGAAAUCACCUACUACAGGACAGGCCCAACAAAGACAAUAACAGAACACCACUGGCCAUCACAUACAGCCCCCAGCUAAAACCUCUCCAGCGCAUUAUCCACGAUCUACAACCUAUCCUGGAAAAUGAUCCCUCACUCUCACAGACCUUGGGAGGCAAGCCAGUGCUCGCUUACAGACAACCCCCCAACCUGAAGCAAAUACUCACCAGCAACUACACACCACACCACAGAAACACCAACCCAGGAACCAAUCCCUGUAGCAAACCUCGUUGCCUACUCUGCCCCAUACCUACUCUGGCAACACCAUCAGAAGACCCAACCACAUCAGCCACACCAUCAAGGGCUCAUUCAACUGCACAUCCACUAAUGUUAUAUAUGCCAUCAUGUGCCAGCAA